GCGCACCAGGCGCGAAACCUCCGCAAUACACGAAAGUGUGACGGGGCCAUCCCGAAUGCCGUCCACUGAGGACGGCUUUUCCCCAGUGUACACAGCUGGGGGAAUAAGGAGAGGGCAAGCCUGGUGUCAGCCGCCGCGGUAAUACCAGCUCUCCGAGUGGUGGGGACGCUUAUUGGGCCUAAAGCAUCCGUAGCCGGCUGGGCAAGUCCUCCGUUAAAUCCAACGAUUCAAUCGUUGGGCUGCGGGGGAUACUGUCCAGCUUGGGGGCGGGAGAGGCCGACGGUAUUCCCGGGGUAGGGGUGAAAUCCUAUAAUCCCGGGAGGACCACCAGUGGCAAAGGCUGUCGGCUAGAACGCGCCCGACGGUGAGGGAUGAAAGCUGGGGGAGCGAACCGGAUUAGAUACCCGGAUAGU
This 413-nucleotide ribosomal RNA is filed under the name uncultured microorganism. RNAcentral's name for it is "bacterial SSU rRNA". It matches the Rfam family "Archaeal small subunit ribosomal RNA", at positions 330 to 745 of the family's 1478-position model. The record is from RNAcentral.